GGCGUGGCCUCCCCAAACGCUGGGGAGGGGCUGGGACGACCCCCCGCCCUGUGUCAAGAGGCAGAGCUUGCUGGAAAGCGCUGGGCCAGCAGCACCCCCUGGACUCCGGCUCCCCUGGACCUCCCGUGAGGAAAUAAACUGAGGGGUGGCACCCACGUGGGUCCCCUCCAGUUGUCCUGCCGUGACCGCUAUUAAAGACCCCCGGCAGGACGGGAGCCUCAGGCCCCGGGGGGCCGAGCGGAGGCUGCAGACAGUCAAGUUUGAGGUGGAGCCAAAGAACUACCCAUCUCUCUGCACCUACUUGAGCCUCUGGAAUCUUAACCUGCAAAGAGGCGGAGAGCAAAGAGACGAGCAGGAGAGAAACCAUGGCUGAUCGUUUGCCCGUAAUGCCCUCAGCCCCUUCUCACUGCUGUCAGCAUUGACCACGUCCACCGGCCACGGCCCUCCCGGCCUGCGCUGACCCUCGCCCGCGCCCUGGCAGCCACUGGCCGGUGAUAUCAACAGUUCUCCAGGCUGCCCAACGAGCCACCGCAAAUUCCGCC
RNAcentral lists this long non-coding RNA (542 nucleotides) under Dasypus novemcinctus (nine-banded armadillo). RNAcentral describes it as "lncRNA (ENSDNOG00000052990.1)". Lineage: Eukaryota; Metazoa; Chordata; Mammalia; Cingulata; Dasypodidae. The record is from RNAcentral.